CAGAGGCCGGAGCAGCAACGAGAUCCCGGGGGCAUGUUCGCCAUCUGGGGCUCAGCCCUGGUGCUGGUUUUGCUUUUCAGCUCCAGCAUGGAAGAUUCCGUCACUCAGACCCAGCCCUCGGCAUCGGAUCUGGAGCGCGAGUCUGUGUCCCUGGAUUGCACUUAUGAAACAUCGUUCAGCAACUAUUACCUGUACUGGUACAAACAGCCCCCCCGGGGAAGCCUGAUUCUCCUCUUUUGGCAACAUUCUGGAGGAACAAAGAGCAACGAGGCAGGGGAGAGAUUCUCUGUCAAUUUCCAGAAAGACAAAAGCUCCAUCAGUUUGAGGAUCACGGCUCUGGAGUUGGGGGACGCGGCCACGUACUUCUGUGCUUUCAGUAGAGGCACAGUGUGGAAAUGAAUAGAGGGCCCUGUACAAAAACCUGGCCCCGCUCCGCUACUGCAGGGACCUGACUCCUCCCAGGUGAAGUUA
This is a non-coding RNA of Pelodiscus sinensis (Chinese soft-shelled turtle), 471 nucleotides long. Lineage: Eukaryota; Metazoa; Chordata; Testudines; Trionychidae. The record is from the annotation of a RefSeq genome assembly.